UACGUAGGUGGUAAGCGUUGUUCGGAUUUAUUGGAUUUAAAGGGUGCGUAGGCGGUCCAUUAAGUCAGUGGUGAAAUACGGCAGCUUAACUGUCGAGGUGCCAUUGAUACUGGAGGACUUGAGUACAGACGAGGUAGGCGGAAUUGACGGUGUAGCGGUGAAAUGCUUAGAUAUCGUCAAGAACACCGAUAGCGAAGGCAGCUUACUAGACUGUAACUGACGCUGAGGCACGAAAGUGUGGGGAUCAAACAGG
Molecule: ribosomal RNA, 253 nt
Filed under: uncultured bacterium
Lineage: Bacteria
Description: partial 16S ribosomal RNA
Rfam family: Bacterial small subunit ribosomal RNA
Source: RNAcentral